UCGAGGAUCUUUCGCAAUGGGCGUAAGCCUGACGAAGCGACGCUGUGUGAGGGAUGAAGGCCUUCGGGUUGUAAACCUCUUUCGCUUGGGAACAAGAAAGAGACGUGAAUAACGUUUCAAUUUGAGUGUACCAGGUAAAGAAGCACCGGCUAACUACGUGCCAGCAGCUGCGGUAAUACGUAGGGUGCAAGCAUUAAUCGGAGUUAUUGGGCGUAAAGGGCGCGUAGGCGGGAGAGCCAGUCAGAUGUGAAAUUCCAAAGCUCAACUUUGGAGCUGCAUUUGAAACUACUCUUCUCAAGAGGGAUGGCGGAGAAAGCGGAAUUCCACGUGUAGCGGUGAAAUGCGUAGAUAUGUGGAAGAACACCGGUGGCGAAAGCGGCUUUCUAGCUAUCACCUGACG
RNAcentral lists this ribosomal RNA (400 nucleotides) under uncultured bacterium. RNAcentral's name for it is "bacterial SSU rRNA". It matches the Rfam family "Bacterial small subunit ribosomal RNA", at positions 355 to 745 of the family's 1533-position model. The record is from RNAcentral.